UCCUACGGGGCGCAGCAGUGGGGAAUAUUGCACAAUGGGGGGAACCCUGAUGCAGCGACGCCGCGUGAGUGAAGAAGUAUUUCGGUAUGUAAGGCUCUAUCAGCAGGGAAGAAAAUGACGGUACCUGACUAAGAAGCCCCGGCUAACUACGUGCCAGCAGCCGCGGUAAUACGUAGGGGGCAAGCGUUAUCCGGAUUUACUGGGUGUAACGGGAGCGCAGACGGCUGUGCAAGUCUGGAGGGAAAGGCGGGGGCCCAACCC
RNAcentral lists this ribosomal RNA (261 nucleotides) under uncultured bacterium. RNAcentral's name for it is "partial 16S ribosomal RNA". It matches the Rfam family "Bacterial small subunit ribosomal RNA", at positions 337 to 615 of the family's 1533-position model. The record is from RNAcentral.